CCUACGGGUGGCAGCAGUGAGGAAUAUUGGUCAAUGGGCGUAAGCCUGAACCAGCCAAGUCGCGUGAGGGAUGAAGGUUCUAUGGGUCGUAAACCUCUUUUAUAAGGGAAUAAAGGGCGCGACGUGUCCCGUUGUGUAUGUACCUUAUGAAUAAGCAUCGGCUAACUCCGUGCCAGCAGCCGCGGUAAUACGGAGGAUGCGAGCGUUAUCCGGAUUUAUUGGGUUUAAAGGGUGCGUAGGCGGCCUUUAAAGUCAGCGGUAAAAGCCCGUGGCCCAACCCCGGCAAGCCGUUGGAACUGGGGGGCUAGAGAAUGUUAGAGGUAGGCGGAAUGCGUGGUGUAGCGGUGAAAUGCUUAGAUAUCACGCAGAACCCCGAUUGCGAAGGCAGCGUGCCGAGCCAUGACUGACGCUGAGGCACGAAAGCGUGGGGAUCAAACAGGAUUAGAUACCCGAGUAGUC
This 459-nucleotide ribosomal RNA is filed under the name uncultured bacterium. RNAcentral's name for it is "partial 16S ribosomal RNA". It matches the Rfam family "Bacterial small subunit ribosomal RNA", at positions 338 to 795 of the family's 1533-position model. The record is from RNAcentral.